This 481-nucleotide ribosomal RNA is filed under the name uncultured bacterium. Its description in RNAcentral is "partial 16S ribosomal RNA". It matches the Rfam family "Bacterial small subunit ribosomal RNA", at positions 28 to 507 of the family's 1533-position model. The record is from RNAcentral.
GAUGAACGCUGGCGGCGUGCUUAACGCAUGCAAGUCGAACGAAACACCUUAUUUGAUUUUCUUCGGAACUGAAGAUUUGGUGAUUGAGUGGCGGACGGGUGAGUAACGCGUGGGUAACCUGCCCUGUACAGGGGGAUAACAGUCAGAAAUGACUGCUAAUACCGCAUAAGACCACAGCACCGCAUGGUGCAGGGGUAAAAACUCCGGUGGUACAGGAUGGACCCGCGUCUGAUUAGCUGGUCGGUGAGGUAACGGCUCACCAAGGCGACGAUCAGUAGCCGGCUUGAGAGAGUGAACGGCCACAUUGGGACUGAGACACGGCCCAGACUCCUACGGGAGGCAGCAGUGGGGAAUAUUGCACAAUGGGGGAAACCCUGAUGCAGCGACGCCGCGUGAGUGAAGAAGUAUUUCGGUAUGUAAAGCUCUAUCAGCAGGGAAGAAAAUGACGGUACCUGACUAAGAAGCCCCGGCUAACUACGUG